AACGAACGCUGGCGGCAGGCCUAACACAUGCAAGUCGAGCGCCCCGCAAGGGGAGCGGCAGACGGGUGAGUAACGCGUGGGAACGUACCUUUUGGUUCGGAACAACUCCGGGAAACUGGAGCUAAUACCGGAUAAGCCCUAACGGGGAAAGAUUUAUCGCCGAAAGAUCGGCCCGCGUCUGAUUAGCUAGUUGGUGAGGUAACGGCUCACCAAGGCGACGAUCAGUAGCUGGUCUGAGAAGAUGAUCAGCCACACUGGGACUGAGACACGGCCCAGACUCCUACGGGAGGCAGCAGUGGGGAAUAUUGGACAAUGGGCGCAAGCCUGAUCCAGCCAUGCCGCGUGAGUGAUGAAGGCCUUAGGGUUGUAAAGCUCUUUUGUCCGGGAAGAUAAUGACUGUACCGGAAGAAUAAGCCCCGGCUAACUUCGUG
Molecule: ribosomal RNA, 431 nt
Filed under: uncultured bacterium
Lineage: Bacteria
Description: partial 16S ribosomal RNA
Rfam family: Bacterial small subunit ribosomal RNA
Source: RNAcentral